GCCUGCGCACCCCAGAGCGUUUGACCGUUGAAGCGAAACAGCUGAUUUCCCCAGUAGUCUGCAGUUGGUUCAAAAUCAAAGUUUAGGGAUCAUCAUUUUAUUAACAAAGUGCUUUGGACGGAUAAGUGUUGUUUUAGUCGUACUGGCAUUUUAAAUUGGUAUAAGUUUCCAGUAGGUAUUUGAUGGCAGAUUACUUCUGAAUGUGGUUUGACGUUUCAAAACUGGAGUAACUCAACGAUGGUUGUAGCUUGGCAAAUUAUGAAAGACUAACUCCUACGAGCCCUGUUCUAGUUUUGAUAAACUGAAGACAAAAGAACCUGUUGCUAUGGAUACAUUAUAUUGACGUUUUAUGAAAUUUUUUAACUGGAAAUUAUACCAUUAUGUAUAUUUUUUGCAGCAUGACAAUUACAUA
Anoplophora glabripennis (Asian longhorned beetle) is the source of this 412-nucleotide long non-coding RNA. RefSeq lists it as uncharacterized. The record is from RefSeq and is a predicted model, not a curated record. Lineage: Eukaryota; Metazoa; Arthropoda; Insecta; Coleoptera; Cerambycidae. The transcript is spliced from 3 exons.